AAUACAGGAGGCACCAUUAAAUUUGAAUUUCAGAUGAAUAAUGCAUAACUUUUUUAGCGUAAGUAUGUCCCAUGCAAUAUUUGGGACAUACUUAUACUAAAAAAAAAUAUGUAUUGUUUAUCUGAGAUUCAAAUUUAACUGUAAGUCCUGUCAUUUU
Molecule: microRNA precursor, 157 nt
Filed under: Choloepus hoffmanni (Hoffmann's two-fingered sloth)
Lineage: Eukaryota; Metazoa; Chordata; Mammalia; Pilosa; Megalonychidae
Description: miRNA (ENSCHOG00000014862.1)
Rfam family: mir-1302 microRNA precursor family (bases 51-102)
Source: RNAcentral